This is a long non-coding RNA of Bufo gargarizans (Asiatic toad), 455 nucleotides long. RefSeq lists it as uncharacterized. The transcript has 3 exons. The record is from RefSeq and is a predicted model, not a curated record. Lineage: Eukaryota; Metazoa; Chordata; Amphibia; Anura; Bufonidae.
ACACUUCAACUUACUGUGCUCCCUGCUAGUUGAUUCACUUACUCACCCACUAACACUGAGCUCCUUUUACUGUCUGUGGGCUAAAAAGGGACGGAAAGCGCCAGGAAUAAGGGGGAGGAAGUGCAGUGCCAGGCUGUGCCCACCACGCCAGGGGAUAUUGUGCAUGGGCUGACUGGGCUAGCCGCUCUUCUGCUUUCAGCUGAUUUUAGUAAAUGCAGAAGAUUAAUGUGGCCAUCUAGGACAUGCUCCGCCAAUAAUAGCUUUGGAUUACAUUGGAAAACGGAAUAAAGUGACUCUUGAAGCGUCAAAAGAAGUUGUAGUCAGGAUUUCAAGCAGAAGACUUAAGAAAUACAAUGUGCUUCUGCUGUUGGGUUGCAAGACUUCAAAAGUUUCCAAUGUAGGGCAGGACAGAUACAGCUUUUAAUGAAUACAAUCACCUUGAUGCCCAAAACUGG